GCCAGACUCCUACGGGAGGCAGCAGUGGGGAAUAUUGCACAAUGGGGGGAUCCCUGAUGCAGCGACGCCGCGCGGGUGAAGGAGUACUUCGGUACGUAAAGCCCUAUCAGCAGGAAAGAAAAUGACGGUACCUGACUAAGAAGCCCCGGCUAACUACGUGCCAGCAGCCGCGGUAAUACGUAGGGGGCAAGCGUUAUCCGGAUUUACUGGGUGUAAAGGGAGCGUAGACGGCAGUGCAAGUCCGGAGUGAAAGCCCGGGGCUCAACCCUGGGACUGCUCUGGAAACUGACAGGCUGGAGUGUCGGAGAGGCAGGCGGAAUUCCUAGUGUAGCGGUGAAAUGCGUAGAUAUUAGGAGGAACACCGGUGGCGAAGGCGGCCUGCUGGACUGUGACUGACGUUGAGGCCCGAAGGCGUGGGGAGCAAACAGGAUUAGAUACCCUCGUA
This 445-nucleotide ribosomal RNA is filed under the name uncultured bacterium. Its description in RNAcentral is "partial 16S ribosomal RNA". It matches the Rfam family "Bacterial small subunit ribosomal RNA", at positions 330 to 792 of the family's 1533-position model. The record is from RNAcentral.